GGGAUGAUCAACAGUACUAUAGGACAGUAAUGUUUCUGAAUUUCAUGUUUGUAGGAAAUAAUAGAUAUGAAGGUGUAGUUUUGUGCUUUUUUAUGAGAAUCUUUCUUAAAAACAAGAAACAUUUUUAAUGUAUACUAUCAGUACUAAGUAGCUUAAUUAAUUACAAAAUUUAUAUUAUUGUCUUCCCCAUUUUUUGGUUGCAAAACAUAUGUUUUAUGUGAGAUGAUUUGAUUUGCCUCUCUACUUAACAAUCAUAGAUUCAUGAAGUUCAUAUAGUGAGGUGGAAACUAAUCCAGUUCUAUUUUACCUGUAAGAAGGGGAAGUCAAAUUUUUUGUGAUUAUUUUAUAUUGAAUAUUAAGGUUUCUAUUUUUCCCCAUUUUGAUUUUAUGGAGAAUUGAAUUUUUCAGAAAGAUUAUCAAGCCAUUGAUAUCCUUCUAGCAGAGAUUGAUAUAUAAGAGCUUUUUGCUUUCAAAAAUUGCAAGGGAAUGAAGGUUAAGCUUGCUCUUUGUGAAGAAAAAGGUUCAAGAACUUCAUAAGGCUUCUACUGAUGAGUGUCCAAAAUCUAUAAAAGAUGAUGCGAUUUUUCAUACUUUUGGUCCUGAGCAUCGUGGAAGUGUACGAGAGCUGGGAUUUGGGGCUUUACCAUCUAAGGUUGAUGCACAAGUACACCAAAAUGAGCACGUGAGAAAACUUGAAGGCAAGGUGCUGGACUUAGAACAACAACUCAAUAAGAUAAGAGCCAUGCUUAUCAAAGAAAGAAGGCAAAAUGAUGGUACCAAUCCCUCCUAAAGAAGCUCUGAUCUACUCCAAUCUACUCCUCAUGACAACCUUCCAACUUCAGCAAGUGAAAAUAGUAUUUUCAGAACAUUUUUAUCUACUCUUCAUGUCUUUAAUUGUUGGAAUUAUGUGGUAGCUAUAUGCUUAAUGAAGUUUUUUAUGGUUUUUUAGGUGAAUGAAGUUGGUUCUGUUACUGAAGGCAUUGAAGCUAUGAAAUUAUCUAAACGUGCUGGUUCUUCAAUUGCAAACCUUCUAACUGUUUUAGAUACGGAUCAAAGUAAUGGUGUGUCGAGCUUAGAGAAUGUCAAAUUCAAGUUGUUGCAUUGUUAGGGGACAAACUUGGUGGUUGCAGAAGGCCAAAUUGCAUCAAGGGAUCCCAAGUCAAAGGUGCAUUAUGUGACUCUUAGACCUUUGUGUUGGAAAGUAUGGGUGAACCACGUAACAGUCAACGUGUUGUUGUUUCGUUCUACUCAUGAGAUGUAUGAUCUUCAAGAUGUAAUAGGAAGUACAGUUGCAUGGCCUAGUCAAUUCAUUCUUUUGGACUAAAUAUUACACUAAUUGAUUUACGAUUUAUAGUUAUACUUUUUGGAUGUUUAA
Non-coding RNA from Camellia sinensis, 1375 nucleotides. NCBI's taxonomy places the organism in Eukaryota, Viridiplantae, Streptophyta, Magnoliopsida, Ericales, Theaceae. The record is from RefSeq and is a predicted model, not a curated record.